GAAGGGCGGUCCCCCGCGGCGGUUCUUCAGGUCGAUGUCGCGGAUGGCGCCGUAUUUGUAAAACACGUCCUCGAUGUCCUUGGUUCGGAUGUCCGGAGAUACCUCAGAAUCCUUCCACUCAUCCGUUAUCAACCGGGAGCUGGUGACCUUCUGGAGUCAGCCUCUGUUAGAGACAGAUGCAUUGUUUCGGGGAACAGCUGGAGCCUGGGAGUCUUUCAGGCUCAAAAGUAGAAAUCUCUGGUAGAGUUUUUGGGCUUUAGACAAGCAAGUGGAUGCCAAGGAUCUCUUGCAGGGAGAGGUCUUGUCCGCUGUGUGGUGGCCAUAUGUGAUCAUCUGUAGUUCUCCACCACAAGUCUCCCGGUGUGUGUCACUUAUUUUCAUGUAGCCUACAACAAAUGUUAAGCCAUCGAACUCUCAGAAUAAAGAGCGAAUACAUAGAA
This 440-nucleotide long non-coding RNA is filed under the name Mus pahari (shrew mouse). Its description in RNAcentral is "lncRNA (MGP_PahariEiJ_G0002592.1)". Lineage: Eukaryota; Metazoa; Chordata; Mammalia; Rodentia; Muridae. The record is from RNAcentral.